Molecule: unclassified non-coding RNA, 20 nt
Filed under: Chlamydomonas reinhardtii
Lineage: Eukaryota; Viridiplantae; Chlorophyta; Chlorophyceae; Chlamydomonadales; Chlamydomonadaceae
Description: small RNA Cre_3010
Source: RNAcentral
UGCAGCAGCUGCAUGCGUGG